This is a long non-coding RNA of Trifolium pratense (red clover), 2503 nucleotides long. RefSeq lists it as uncharacterized. The record is from RefSeq and is a predicted model, not a curated record. NCBI's taxonomy places the organism in Eukaryota, Viridiplantae, Streptophyta, Magnoliopsida, Fabales, Fabaceae. The transcript is spliced from 4 exons.
ACCCCCCAUUCAAUACAAACUCCUACAAACCCUUCUCCAAUAAAGGUAAAUCUCAAGGACGAAUUUGACUUCCUCCAAAUCGAAAGGAUCCCACCACUACUCCCUUCCGAUGGGAGAACAGCCCAAAGACAAUCCUGAGAACCCCAAAGACCAACACAAAGCUUCUCAUCCACAUUCUCCAAUUUUGUUUCUUGAAUAGCCAUAAAAUCAAUUUGACACUACAAAAAAAACUAUAAUUUGUGACGGAUUGUCCACGACUGUUCCCUCAACCGUCGCCGCUAUUUUCAAUUUUUGAGGAUUACGGCCGUUCAUUCUAAACGGUCGCCGCUUAUAUCCUAUCCGCGUAAUAUUCACUCGCAUUCCCUCCUUUUUUUUACAGAACCCGUUAUUUUUUUUCACAAGUCGAAGCUUCAGAUUCAGUAUCUCAGAUUCUUCGUUCGUUCAAUCUUCGUUUGUUCUUUUAACACAAGCUUCAAUUUUCGUUUAGAUUCAAUCUUCUUCUUCACUCUAAGCUGUUUAAUCUUGGUCUUCACCCUAAGAUUCAGAUUCAAACCCGUUCUUCAACCUAAGCUUCAGAUUCAAACUAGUUUGUUCAAUGUAAGCUUCAGAUUCUCCUCAAAUUCUUCAAUUAACCUUCAAAAUCACCUUCAGGUCUGAGAAGCUUAUUAUAGUCUUGGAUCAAUAUUAGUCCAUUCAAGGUAGCAAUGAAGAAAAACUUGGUACAGAAAAUGCAAUGUGGUGAAGAAGAAGAUGUUGUUAACCAAGUCUGUUAAUGACACACUUGAAAGGUAAAUCUGUCUAUUUUUUAGAAAUUGCCAAUUUCUCCCUUCAUUACAAGAAAAUUUCAUUUAGCUACUGAUAAAUUUAGUAGAUACUCAAAUGCAAUUAACUAUCUAUUAGCAAGGAUAUAUCUUCACUUGAAAGGUAGUGCAAAAAUGUUGUGUCAAUGAGAACUAAGGUGGGUGCAAAAUUUUUAUUUUAGUGUAGGAAAUUUUAUAGAACAGUUUGUCAUGUUUACUUUUCUCUAAACUUAUUGCAUACUUCCUCUGCUUUGGAGAAGUUAUAGAACAAUUGUAUAUGUUGUUGAGUUUUCUAGAUGAAUCUGUGUAGAUUCAUAAGAGAGCUUUUUAAAGUGUAAAGAAUUCUGAAUCGAAACAAUUCAGAUAUUUGGUAUGAGAGGAUGCAUUAUAGAAGCAAUUCACCACUUUCACUUUUAUUUCCUUUAGCUAACAUCCAUAUUAAAAUAGUUCCAGCAUUCAAAGCUCAUUGCAACUUUUAUAUAUUCCAUAUUUCCUAACCAGGGUCUGCAUAAUAGUCCUUCUUCAUAUCUUAUAUUAUUGAUAGUAUAUGGCUAUCAUGUACAUGACAUGUGUGCCUUAUGAUAUACAUUGUAGAAUUUGAUAUAGGCUUUAGUGUCCCUUUUGCGAACACUCAAAGAUGAGGAACAUUAUAGGGAGUUAUUUAUACACGUAGUUUUCUCAUAUUUUGUGCAAUUUAAUGUAGAUUUGUUUUAAUGCAACUGAAUGUAUAUGCUUACUUCUUAGUUAUGUGAGAUUUAUCAAUGAUUGUAUAGCCUUUUUAAUUCUCUACUGUUAUCACUACUGUUAUGCUCUUGUAUUUGUGAGGCCUCGGUUUUAUUUGGUUUGUAGCUUUUUUAGUCUAUUGGUGCAGGUUGUAAAUUUUGUUCAUUUCUUUUAUCCAAAUAAUCAUAUUGACUCCAUGGUAAUAGAUGUAAGAUUAACACUAAUAUAAUUCUAUUGUUCUCUCUCACUCUCUUCCACUGCGGUUUGUUUGAUAUUAAAUAGGUUGACUAGAGAUGUUUAGAGGCGAAACAAGGGGAGAUUUUAACAAAUCUUGGAAGUGGUGAAUACUUCUCUUACUCUUCAUUGUGAUAUAUAUUGCCAUGUAAACAUGGGUCGAGCAACUGCACAAAAUAUAUAAGUUAUGUGGCUCUCCAUCAGAGGAAUAUUGGAAGAAAUAUAAAUUCUGAAGGUGAAGAGUGUGCUUGACCCUUGUGAGGAUGACAAUGAGGGAAUCCAAAGUUUUCAUCAGGAUCUAAAGUUUUCUUCUAAUUCAGUACAGACAACACAAUUACUAUGCUAUAACCAUUUGAUUCAAAAAAAACUAUGCUAUAACCAUAUAUGUCAAAAUAGUUAAUGAACUCUAUUGCCAUUCAAAAAAAAGUUAAUGAACUCUAUUUAUUUCAGAAAAUACCCAGGACCCAAUUGAAGAUGAGCAACAAUUGGUCCGGUUUAAGGAAUCGCUAAACUGUUGUCACCUUGAUACCAUUGAUCUUACUGAUGUUCUAUCAAACUUUCCAUACAUCUCAGUGGUACCUACUUUAAUGUGAUGCUAUGUUUCAAUUAUCAUGUUCAAUGUGCUGCCUGCAAUUUUCAUCCAUUUCCAUACUCUUUGGAUUGUUUCCAUUUAUAUUUAAUUAGACAUUUGUGUUGAACUUUGGUUGUAUAAUUUAUUCAUUUUUUAUGGAACUUUGGUUGUAUAA